GGGACCAGUGAUGAUGGUGGGAAGCUCAGGAGUCAAGGAUGAUGAAAAUCUGUGUCUGAAACUCUGGGAUCUCA
Molecule: small nucleolar RNA, 74 nt
Organism: Suricata suricatta (meerkat)
Lineage: Eukaryota; Metazoa; Chordata; Mammalia; Carnivora; Herpestidae
Source: Ensembl